GGGUCCACCCGUUCCCAUACCGAACACGGUAGUUAAGCUCACGCGUGCUGACAAUAGUUGGAGGGCAACUUCCUGCAAAGAUAAGUAACGCCGACA
This 96-nucleotide ribosomal RNA is filed under the name Clostridiales bacterium. The record is from RNAcentral. Lineage: Bacteria; Bacillati; Bacillota; Clostridia; Eubacteriales.